CCUACGGGAGGCAGCAGUGGGGAAUAUUGCACAAUGGGCGCAAGCCUGAUGCAGCCAUGCCGCGUGUAUGAAGAAGGCCUUCGGGUUGUAAAGUACUUUCAGCGGGGAGGAAGGCGAUAAGGUUAAUAACCUUGUCGAUUGACGUUACCCGCAGAAGAAGCACCGGCUAACUCCGUGCCAGCAGCCGCGGUAAUACGGAGGGUGCAAGCGUUAAUCGGAAUUACUGGGCGUAAAGCGCACGCAGGCGGUCUGUCAAGUCGGAUGUGAAAUCCCCGGGCUCAACCUGGGAACUGCAUUCGAAACUGGCAGGCUAGAGUCUUGUAGAGGGGGGUAGAAUUCCAGGUGUAGCGGUGAAAUGCGUAGAGAUCUGGAGGAAUACCGGUGGCGAAGGCGGCCCCCUGGACAAAGACUGACGCUCAGGUGCGAAAGCGUGGGGAGCAAACAGGAUUAGAUACCCCUGUAGUC
This 465-nucleotide ribosomal RNA is filed under the name uncultured organism. RNAcentral's name for it is "bacterial SSU rRNA". It matches the Rfam family "Bacterial small subunit ribosomal RNA", at positions 338 to 795 of the family's 1533-position model. The record is from RNAcentral.